This 64-nucleotide transfer RNA is filed under the name Pholas orientalis. RNAcentral describes it as "tRNA-Thr". Lineage: Eukaryota; Metazoa; Mollusca; Bivalvia; Myida; Pholadidae. The record is from RNAcentral.
GGUUAAGUAGUUUAAAAAGAAUAGGGUUUUUGUAAAUCUCUGGUACUUAGAAGAGUCUUGACCU